ACCUAUCGAAAAAAAUUUUACGCUUAUUAAAUGUAUAUUAAUGAUUGAGCAUUUUAUUGAAAUAAGCUCAUAAACUUUAACUUUGAACAUUUAAGUAUUAAUUAAUAAAAUUGAUGGCUUUGGAGUAUUAGAAUCCUGCCUAGUCCCUAUACAAUAGCAUUGUUACUACGUAGUACAUAGACCAAACAAUUGUAUGCUGUUACUGUUUAAGCGUAAUAUUUUUCAAAAGUUUUUCUGUGUAUAAUUUUACAUUUGUAAUAAUGAGUGCCGUAAUUAAUGUUAAAUGUAAGAGAAAAUGUGUUAUAGCCGAGUGUUUAGAAUGUAGUAAUAGAUUUAACGAUUAUUUAAAAAAAAAAGCUCGAAAAGAAGUUACAUAAUAUAAACAGGUAAAUAUGAAACAUGUUGGCGUUCCUAAAAGCUCUUUCGAAAGUGCAACCGAAACUUCAUGACAUUUAUCCAAACAGAUUAAACUACGUAAUAUUAUUCUGGCAAGUUUAUUUUCAUAUUUGUUAAUUGUUAUAGAUCAUAAUUGAAUCCAAUUUAAAAUUUAUAAUAUUAAUAUAGAAACAAGGAUGUAUUGGAGCAUUUACUCAUAACAACGUUAACAAUAUUUAUAAAACAAUGAGUAAAUAGGUACACUAAUAAAUUCAUUUUAUAAUCAUAUUAUUUAUAUUGUAUUGUGUAUAUUGUAAAUUUAGGCAAUUAGUAUAUUACUUAAUAAUAAAAAUUGUAUCUUUUAUUUUAUAAAUUCUUGGUAUUAUUUUACAUUGAGUCAAGUUCAACUCAGACAAUAUGUUAUGUUAGUCAGACUAACGUUAAAUCUGAAAGAAUGACAGAAUCUAUAUUAGACAACUGACAAGGUCAGAAUAAUACGUAUAUCAUCUCAAUCAAUCUCCAUAAAAGAUUCAACGAUUGUAGUUUACCAUGAUAAAAUGGAUGUAAAUUAAUCAUUGUGUGCUGGUUAGUUGGAAAAUAUUUUUGCUGCAGAUUUAAAUGAAUGUGGUGUAGUUUUAUCUAAAUUAAAAAUUGAAGCAUUACCAAAUCCAAUUAUAUUUAUACCAGAGAGAGAACAAUUAUCAUGAUCCAGGUGGUCGAGGGCCAACUAUUUCAACUUCACAACCUCCAAUGAUUAAAAAAAAUGAAAAAACUUGAGCUGCAUUUUUCUUCUACUUCACAUAAAGCAUAUUUAAACAACUACUACCAAUUCAUGACUAAUUCAAACCACAUUCGGACAUUGAUGUAAUUUUGAACAGGAAUAAUAGAAAAGAAGCAAUAUAAUUAGAGCAAGAUCUGAUCAACACUGAUCACAUUAUCAAAUACCAACUUAAAAAAUGUAUUUCUUCUGUUUAGCCAUUGUUCAAAUUAUUUUUCUCAACCUUUAGAUAAAUCAAAUUUACUCUUGAAAACAUUACAAAUUCUCUAUCUUUAUUUCCACUAAAUAGUACAGCUUGUAAUCUAAAUAUGUAGAUUAGUCCAAACUCAAUACGAAAUAUUAUUUAACAUGUUGCAAGAUUAUUCAAAAAAUUUUAAAUAUCUAAUGGAAAAGUCUAAAGAAAUCAAACAUAUUUUACCAUAUGCCAAUUUAUUAUGUCGUUUGGCAUUGAAUCUUCCGUUGGCUGUCGUCUUAAAUGAGAGGACAUUCAGUAAAUUAAAAUUAGUGAAGACAUUUUUCAGAUCAACAAUAAAUUAUGACCGAUUAAAUUUCUUAGUAUUAUUAAGAAUAGAAAAAGAUAUUGUAGACGAAUUGGAUAUUAACAAAUUAGUACAACA
Long non-coding RNA from Aphis gossypii (cotton aphid), 1770 nucleotides. RefSeq lists it as uncharacterized. NCBI's taxonomy places the organism in Eukaryota, Metazoa, Arthropoda, Insecta, Hemiptera, Aphididae. The transcript is spliced from 3 exons. The record is from RefSeq and is a predicted model, not a curated record.